GACAGAGGGUGCAAACGUUGCUCGGAAUCACUGGGCGUAAAGGGCGCGUAGGCGGACAAGUAAGUCGGGCGUGAAAUCCCUAGGCUCAACCUAGGAACUGCACUCGAAACUGCAUGUCUUGAGUACCGGAAAGGAAAGCGGAAUACCUGGUGUAGAGGUGAAAUUCGUAGAUAUCAGGUGGAACACCAGUGGCGAAGGCGGCUUUCUGGACGGUAACUGACGCUGAGGCGCGAAAGCGUGGGGAGCAAACAGG
Molecule: ribosomal RNA, 253 nt
Filed under: uncultured bacterium
Lineage: Bacteria
Description: partial 16S ribosomal RNA
Rfam family: Bacterial small subunit ribosomal RNA
Source: RNAcentral